Molecule: long non-coding RNA, 1403 nt
Filed under: Felis catus (domestic cat)
Lineage: Eukaryota; Metazoa; Chordata; Mammalia; Carnivora; Felidae
Description: lncRNA (ENSFCAG00000048746.1)
Source: RNAcentral
UAAGGCUAGGGUCCCACAUUCAUGUCCCUUCUGCUUACAGGGCCAUCCAGUGACCUUUACAAUGGAGUGGAGCUCACAUAUUUUCUUUUCUUUUGGAAACUGUCCAUGAGAGGAGGACCACGCACCUGCAUUCUGCACAGAGGCUUGUCGUCAGUUCAGACCAGUGACAAGAGGCUUGUCAUCAGUCCAGUGACAAGAAGCAGGCAUUCCAUCAGCCCAGUCAUUUUGCUCAGGACCCAAAAGACUGCCAUUCCCAGCCCUGCAGGACAGCAGCACUGGGCCUUCACAAACCCAAAUGGAAUGGGAGUUAAGAACAGUGACUCAACAUUUCACCCCAUCUGCAGAUAUGGGCGGACGCUGGGCCCCCAUUUCGUGCCAUCUGCUGUCCUUCCUUGGAGCAUAACACUCCGUAAGUGAAAACUACAACACGGGCUUGCUGGUGAUCAUGUGGGAAAACCAGAAACAAUGGGAAAGUCCAGAAGUGGGUGGGGGGCUACAUAAAAUGGCAGCCAGUAAGAAGCCAGCCGUCAGGAACCCUGUUGUGGAACAUGCUGAACAUCAAGGAAGGGACCUCACUUAUGGUGGUGGCUUCAUGACCUUCUGCGUUCAUCCCCUGUAUCUGUCCCAUCUCGUCCUUCAUUCCUUCAUUCUCUCUACUCGCCCUGGUGGGCUUGCUCACAGUUCCUAGAACAAGCCAGGUGCGCUGUGGACUCUGAGUUUUGUGCUGGAUGUUCCUUCCAUGUGGACUGUUCUUCACCCUCACCUUCUCCAGAGAUUUUCUCAGAAAUCACCUUGCUCAAGAGACGUUCCAUCCAAGAUGUCAACUUACCCCCAAUACACCCUCCCACAUACAUACAUUCCUCACAUCCCUCUUCCUGACUUUACAUUUUCUUUCUAAUGAUCAUUAUUUAACUGGUAACAUGCAUUAAUUAUUUGUUUGUCACCCACCUUUCCCCACCCCACUUAGAAAGCAAGAUCUUGAGGACAAGGAUUUUUGCCGUUUCUAUAUACCCCGUGCCCAGGACAGAACCAGGAAUUCUCAAGGGUGAAGUAAUGGGUGAAUGAGUGACUUCACUUUCUCUCACUAUCUAUCUGUAUUUCUUCCUUUUUUUAAUUUUUGAAUAGAUUUUUAAAAUUUUUUAAAUAUAAUUUAUUGUCAAGUUGGCUAACAUACAGUAUACACAGUGUGCUCUUGGUUUCGGGGUAGAUUCCCGUGAUUCAUCGCUUCCAUACAACACCCAGUGCUCAUCCCAACAAGUGCCCUCCUCAAUGCCCAUCCCCCAUUUUCCCCUCUCCCCCGCCCUCACUCCCAUCCACCCUCAGUUUGUUCUCUGUAUUUAAGAGUCUCAAAAAAUUAAAAAAUUAAAAAUAAAAAAUACAGGAGGAAAAAAAAGAAGAGUCUC